AGCAGCCGCGGUAAUUCCAGCUCCAAUAGCGUAUAUUAAAGUUGUUGCAGUUGAAAAGCUCGUAGUUGAAAUUCGAAAUUUGUCCUAUGGUCGGGCUUUACGGUCCGUACAGUAGUGGCGAAUCUCUACCUUCUGGAGAGCCUUCAUGUCAUUAAUUUGGUGAGUUGGGAAAUCAGGACUGUUACUUUGAAAAAUUAGAGUGUUUAAAGCAGGCUUAAGUCUGAAUACAUUAGCAUGGAAUAAUGAAAUAGGACGGAUUGGUUCUAUUUUGUUGGUUUCUAGGAUCACCGUAAUGAUUAAUAGGGAUAGUUGGGGGCAUUAGUAUUCAAUUGUCAGAGGUGAAAUUCUUGGAUUUAUUGAAGACUAACUUCUGCGAAAGCAUUUGCCAAGGAUGUUUUCAUUAAUCAAGAAUGAAAGUUAGGGGAUCGAAGGCGAUCAGAUACCGUCGUAGUCUUAACCAUAAACUAUGCCGACUAGGGAUCGGAUGAUGUUAAUUUUUUAAUGUACUCA
RNAcentral lists this ribosomal RNA (510 nucleotides) under uncultured Diversisporaceae. RNAcentral's name for it is "SSU rRNA". It matches the Rfam family "Eukaryotic small subunit ribosomal RNA", at positions 569 to 1082 of the family's 1831-position model. The record is from RNAcentral. Lineage: Eukaryota; Fungi; Glomeromycota; Glomeromycetes; Diversisporales.